RNAcentral lists this long non-coding RNA (796 nucleotides) under Homo sapiens (human). RNAcentral describes it as "non-protein coding lnc-AP3S1-1:3". Lineage: Eukaryota; Metazoa; Chordata; Mammalia; Primates; Hominidae. The record is from RNAcentral.
GAGAUGGGGUCUCACUCUGUUGCUCAGCAGGAAUGCAGUGGUACAAUCACGACUCACUAUACCCUUGAACUUCUGGGCUCAGGGGAUCCUCUUGCCUCUGCAGCCUAAUAAUUUUUUUUUAAUUUUUAUUUUUUUGUAGAGUUGGGGAUCUUGCCUUGCUAACCAGGCUGGUCUCAAACUUGUGGCUUCACGCAAUCCCCACACCUCAGCCUUCCAAAGUGCUGGGAUUACAGGUGUAAGCCACCAUGCCUGAUCUGGAAUGCUUUCUAAAAAUAUGGCAUUAUAAACAUAAUACUAAAGAGAAAAAAAGGUUAAAUUUCACUUCAAGAAAUUAUCAGUCUAAUAGCAUCAGUAAAAAUGGCACUUUUAGUCAUGGCAUAAAAUAUACAAUAAGGCUAUUUUUCAAUUAUUGUUUUCAAGUUGGAAAAUGCAUUAUGAAACACUCAAAAAGAUGCUACUGGGUUUACUCAUCAAGUGCUUUUGACACCAUAUAAAUGACAGAGUAACACCACAGUUAUGUGAUUGGGACUCAAGAAUCCUUAAAUGUUAGGACUGAAAACAGGUAUAUGACUUAUUUGUCCAGAAUUUAUAUUUUUCUGUAUCCCAAUAAAAUAAUUAAGCCAUGUGUAUUGUGUAAAAUUACAGUCUUUCAGUCUGUCCUAUGUGCUUGCUCUCCUGGCUAGAUAUUAGCUAAAAAUUAGCAAAAACAGCCAUUUCCCCUAUUAUUCCCCAGCAAAGAUGUGAAACCAAAACGCCUAACCUUUUCUGCCUGGUGGACUGCCCUCUACUGGACUAU